RNAcentral lists this transfer RNA (67 nucleotides) under Ugyops sp. APL-2018. RNAcentral's name for it is "tRNA-Gln". The record is from RNAcentral. Lineage: Eukaryota; Metazoa; Arthropoda; Insecta; Hemiptera; Delphacidae.
UAUAAGAUAUUGUAUUUGCAUUAAGAUUUUUGAUUUCUUAGGUUUUAGUUUAUUCUAUUUCUUAUAU